RNAcentral lists this ribosomal RNA (997 nucleotides) under Bacillus sp. (in: firmicutes). Its description in RNAcentral is "bacterial SSU rRNA". It matches the Rfam family "Bacterial small subunit ribosomal RNA", at positions 55 to 1030 of the family's 1533-position model. The record is from RNAcentral. Lineage: Bacteria; Bacillati; Bacillota; Bacilli; Caryophanales; Bacillaceae.
AUGCAGUCGAGCGGACGUUUUUGAAGCUUGCUUCAAAAACGUUAGCGGCGGACGGGUGAGUAACACGUGGGCAACCUACCUUAUCGACUGGGAUAACUCCGGGAAACCGGGGCUAAUACCGGAUAACAUCUAGCACCUCCUGGUGCCGGAUUAAAAGAGGGCUUCUUGCUCUCACGAUGAGAUGGGCCCGCGGCGCAUUAGCUAGUUGGAGAGGUAACGGCUCCCCAAGGCGACGAUGCGUAGCCGACCUGAGAGGGUGAUCGGCCACACUGGGACUGAGACACGGCCCAGACUCCUACGGGAGGCAGCAGUAGGGAAUCUUCCGCAAUGGACGAAAGUCUGACGGAGCAACGCCGCGUGAGUGAUGAAGGGUUUCGGCUCGUAAAGCUCUGUUAUGAGGGAAGAACACGUACCGUUCGAAUAGGGCGGUACCUUGACGGUACCUCAUCAGAAAGCCACGGCUAACUACGUGCCAGCAGCCGCGGUAAUACGUAGGUGGCAAGCGUUGUCCGGAAUUAUUGGGCGUAAAGCGCGCGCAGGCGGCCUUUUAAGUCUGAUGUGAAAUCUUGCGGCUCAACCGCAAGCGGCCAUUGGAAACUGGGAGGCUUGAGUACAGAAGAGGAGAGUGGAAUUCCACGUGUAGCGGUGAAAUGCGUAGAUAUGUGGAGGAACACCAGUGGCGAAGGCGACUCUCUGGUCUGUAACUGACGCUGAGGCGCGAAAGCGUGGGGAGCAAACAGGAUUAGAUACCCUGGUAGUCCACGCCGUAAACGAUGAGUGCUAGGUGUUAGGGGUUUCGAUGCCCGUAGUGCCGAAGUUAACACAUUAAGCACUCCGCCUGGGGAGUACGGCCGCAAGGCUGAAACUCAAAGGAAUUGACGGGGGCCCGCACAAGCAGUGGAGCAUGUGGUUUAAUUCGAAGCAACGCGAAGAACCUUACCAGGUCUUGACAUCCUUUGACCACUCUGGAGACAGAGCUUCCUCCUUCGGGGGCAAA